AACUGAGCUAAAGAAAACUUUCUUUUCAUCCUUGGAUACACAUUCGGCAAAGCUGAUUAAGUUGUACAGAGCAAGAAAGGGAGUACUUGGCGAGGAUAUUCAAAUCCUUUUGGACAGACUUGAUGAACAGACCACUGAUGUUCUUGUACAUCGAAAACAUACAGCUCUUCAAAGACUCCCAUUAUUUUUGAGGGAGAAGACUGACAUUCUGCUGAGGACUUGUCUGGAAACAGACCCAGAGGAAAGUUGCACCCAAGGCCUGAAAGUGGGUAUCAUCAUUAUUGUUGAGGAUGAUGUUGCCAAUGUCCAUUUCAACCCCAAUAUUGUCAGAACAGGCAUUGUACUGGAGGAGCAGAUUGUGCGGGAUGAGCUGCGUGAUCUGCCCAGUGCAUUUGCACUCCUGUUUGGCUUACUCUAUGUACUAAAUAUUGACUAUCCCAGGGAACUAAAAUAUACUUUUGAGGCAAUUCAAAAGGUGUUUAUGAACCUAGGUUCC
Long non-coding RNA from Erpetoichthys calabaricus (reedfish), 496 nucleotides. RefSeq lists it as uncharacterized. The record is from RefSeq and is a predicted model, not a curated record. Lineage: Eukaryota; Metazoa; Chordata; Cladistia; Polypteriformes; Polypteridae. The transcript is spliced from 3 exons.